CCUACGGGUGGCAGCAGUGGGGAAUAUUGGGCAAUGGGCGCAAGCCUGACCCAGCAACGCCGCGUGAAGGAAGAAGGCUUUCUGGUUGUAAACUUCUUUCAAGAGGGAAGCGCAGAAGACGGUACCUCUUGAAUAAGACACGGCUAACUACGUGCCAGCAGCCGCGGUAAUACGUAGUUGGCAGGCGUUGUUCGGAUGUACUGGGUGUAAAGGGCGUGUAGCCGGGCUGACAAGUCAGAUGUGAAAUUCCGGGGCUCAACCCCGGACCUGCAUUUGAAACUGGUGGUCUUGAGUAUCGGAGAGGCAGGCGGAAUUCCUAGUGUAGCGGUGAAAUGCGUAGAUAUUAGGAGGAACACCAGUGGCGAAGGCGGCCUGCUGGACGACAACUGACGGUGAGGCGCGAAAGCGUGGGGAGCAAACAGGAUUAGAUACCCGAGUAGUC
Molecule: ribosomal RNA, 442 nt
Filed under: uncultured bacterium
Lineage: Bacteria
Description: partial 16S ribosomal RNA
Rfam family: Bacterial small subunit ribosomal RNA
Source: RNAcentral